UACAGAGGUGGCAAGCGUUGUUCGGAAUUACUGGGCGUAAAGGGCGCGUAGGCGGUCCUGUAAGUCCCGUGUGAAAUCCCCCGGCUCAACUGGGGAAUGGCACGGGAGACUGCGGGGCUUGAGUUCGGGAGAGGGAAGCGGAAGUCCGGGUGUAGCGGUGAAAUGCGUAGAUAUCCGGAGGAACACGGGUGGCGAAGGUGGCUUCCUGGACCGACACUGACGCUAAGGCGCGAAAGCUAGGGGAGCAAACGGG
This 253-nucleotide ribosomal RNA is filed under the name uncultured bacterium. Its description in RNAcentral is "partial 16S ribosomal RNA". It matches the Rfam family "Bacterial small subunit ribosomal RNA", at positions 524 to 776 of the family's 1533-position model. The record is from RNAcentral.